AAACACAACGCCAAUAGUCGAGACGUUUCUCCUCCUCUCGCGACGCAACAAAGGAGCUUCGAGAACCCUGCCAAAUUCCUCGCCGCCGGCUCCUCGCCUCUCUUUCCCGGCGACCGCAGUAGUUGAGUGGAGCGGGCAAGGAUCCCUCCUGUUGUAUAGCUAUGGUUGUAGUUAGGGGAUCUUAGCAAAUCGGAAUUGGCUUUGAGCUUGCCCCAGUAUCUCUCCUUCUAGAUCUGACCAUGUAGCCCGGCCAUCGGAGAUGGAGACAUGGCGGUGGUUGCUUGGCAUGCCAAGUUUCUUUACACUGCCAUCCCGCACGAAGUCUAGGCUGCCGUUGUCAAGGACAUCGAGCUGCGGGCCGUCCAUGCCGCUCUCAGCUGGCGCGGCGUGCCCAAUGCCGGUGCCGAUGUGUACGCCAAUAUCUGCCUCCCGGCGGCCGCGUACCCCGCGCUCACCGAAAGCAGCGGCUUCCGCCACAGACGAGGAGUCGAGAACUCAAGUGUUUAUUCUGAUGAGCAGGACAUGCUCUGAACUCCGAGCGUUGGUGUGUGUCGCCGAGGAGUCUUCCUUGGCGACGAUUCCGCGGCUGUUGCCAUGCUCUGCCUGCACGCUUUGCGCCGCAAUUUCGUUUGCCAGGAGGUGCGCACACCUAUAUUUCAUCCCCAAUAUUGCGUGUGUGAUAUGUUUAUCGAUCAACUUCGGGUCUCCUGUAGUUUAAUAAUCUCUUUUAAGAGAUAUAGGCUAAUCAAAUAGAUUUAAAAUAAUUGUAAUCAGUCACUAGGGCAUUAUCUGAUGGGAAAACAAUUGUUUGAAGAGGCUUUGGCAGUCUGCUGUCACAAGGUAAUGCAAAAGUGAUUUCGUAAGAGAAUUGGAGGUGAUGGCCAGGUUCUGGCAUGGCAACCUUCUUCGCCUCCAUGCUUACUGCAAUGAAGGCGACGGGCGGAUACUGAUGUACUGCAUGCUACAUGUCAGAACAAUAGCAUGGGUCUCAACAUAUUUGGUACAUAUACAGAUAUACUCAUAUAAUUUGUCCUGCCUAUGAUCAAGUUCUUUUCUGCAAUUGUUGGUCACUAUUGUUCUGUGAUCCAAUACAUAAGUAGUAAGUUGCGUGUACAUAAAGUUCUGGAUAAUAGAACUGCAAAUUUGGACAAUAUACCUUUAGAGGAAGCUUGUAUCUCGACAUGCUUGUCAUAUGAAAGCUCAUGGAUGAGGAAUUUCCUCUUCGUAUUAUCUGCGGGAUGAACUCCAAAAUUUUGUGGAACUAGCAUUUCUAAUAGUACAAAGCUGCUACCUUACUGCCAGUAUUUAGGUGGAUGGUCUCUGUUUUAAAUUCCUAAUACAAGUAAUGCACUUCAAGAAGUUCUAUUUAUCUCGUGUCCUUGCUGCCAAUAGCUGAUUUGGUUUCAUCGUGAGCACCCAAGUACUGCAGCUCUAUUGCCAUUCAUGGUUGUUGGCCUAUCAAUGGUUAUUGUAUUUGGUAGAAAUGGGCUAGGGAUGUUCUGGAUGUGAUGAGAAAAUAUGUUCUACGGUGGAGAUCUGUGAGUUGGGAGCCGUGAGUUGAGUGAUGGGCGGAGACGAUAUAGCAAAAGGAAGGCCAGCCCAACUCCAUUGCAACUUUUACAAAGAAAUGGUCUACAAAGAAGUUCUCGGCGUGUAGUACAAGGUGAGCAGAUAGAUGAAGCGAAAACCCCAGGACUAAUAUUGUUGGCACAUAUGUCUUGAGCAAACAAGUAAAAGAAGGGUAUACUAUGCUUGACAAGUGAUUCCAUGGCCUGAUAGAUGCCUAAGGUAUGAAAUUAAUUAAGUGGAACUAGCUGUGUGAGUUAUGUCUGGAAUAUUUCUUCUCAUGGUAGUGGCAUUGUUAUACAGAUUCAUUUUGCUUGUGCAUAUUUAGCAAAGCAUUCAAUUGAACACUUCUACUUCAUUCUUGUUUGUCCUGGAACCAUAUAUAAGUGUGCGCUCAAGCUAUAGUAUGUAUGUUAUUUGAAUAUAUUAUUUUCUAUCAUUUGUCUUCACAUUUAAGUUUGGUGCGCCUAAUAUACUGGCAUGGAAUGAGAAAUGUUGACUUCCUGGAUGAACUGUAACAAAAUAGCUUGUUUGCUUUCUACAACCUUUCCAAGAGAAGAAGAAGUUUUGUUGCAGUAGUUCUAAUGCUGGACAUGAUGAUAUGUAUUGGAGAUCUCUGGCCGUGCUGGACUGCUGGUGAUUUGGGAGAUCUGGUGUGAGCGCAGUCGCCGCAUCUUACACAAUUCAGUGUUAUCAGCUGUGACCCUUGCAUGCCUUGCAAUUAACGAAGCCAAUCUUGGAAGGACGCUGAUGCGUGUCACAUCAUUUUGCAUAGUAGUCUAGCUUAGUGAGCCCUAAUCAUUCUGUUUGCACUUUUAUAUACUCUCCUAUGCAUGCAAGUUUUGGAUCAAGUGUUUUUAUUCUCGGUGUGAUAUGUUUGUGUGACUAUAAUACACUUAGCAAACUAUAUAUUUCAGUUAUGUUUUUUGUUGCA
Aegilops tauschii subsp. strangulata is the source of this 2500-nucleotide long non-coding RNA. RefSeq lists it as uncharacterized. NCBI's taxonomy places the organism in Eukaryota, Viridiplantae, Streptophyta, Magnoliopsida, Poales, Poaceae. The record is from RefSeq and is a predicted model, not a curated record.